RNAcentral lists this ribosomal RNA (419 nucleotides) under Tornatellides boeningi. RNAcentral describes it as "partial large subunit ribosomal RNA". The stretch from base 1 to 127 matches the Rfam family "Eukaryotic large subunit ribosomal RNA", at positions 2155 to 2325 of the family's 3401-position model. Lineage: Eukaryota; Metazoa; Mollusca; Gastropoda; Stylommatophora; Achatinellidae. The record is from RNAcentral.
AGCUUAUUGUUAUAAUUUAUAAUAAGUUAUUUCUGCCCUGUGAAAAUUUUUAACGGCCGCAGUACUUUGACUGUGCUAAGGUAGCAAAAUAAUUAGGCUUUUAAUUGGAGUCGGGAAUGAAAGAAAUUUAUAAUGAGAUACUGUCUUUAUUUUAUUUUUUAAAAAUUACUUAUAUGGUGAAAAUUCCAUUAAAUAAACCAAAAGACGAGAAGACCCUAAGAAUUAUUAAUCUAAGUAAUUAUUUUACUUUUUUUUUUGUUGGGGCAACAUUAAUUAUAAAAAUUAAUUUAAAUAUUUCACUUAAGAAAAUUUAUUUAAUAAGAAAUAAAUUACCUUAGGGAUAACAGCAUAAUUAUUAUUAUAGAUUAUGACCUCGAUGUUGGACUAAGGAAAAUAUAUAGUUAGCCAUUAUAUAUACA